This 149-nucleotide ribosomal RNA is filed under the name Escherichia coli. RNAcentral describes it as "partial 23S ribosomal RNA". The stretch from base 1 to 132 matches the Rfam family "Bacterial large subunit ribosomal RNA", at positions 2799 to 2925 of the family's 2925-position model. Lineage: Bacteria; Pseudomonadati; Pseudomonadota; Gammaproteobacteria; Enterobacterales; Enterobacteriaceae. The record is from RNAcentral.
CCGAGAUGAGUUCUCCCUGACUCCCUGAGAGUCCUGAAGGAACGUUGAAGACGACGACGUUGAUAGGCCGGGUGUGUAAGCGCAGCGAUGCGUUGAGCUAACCGGUACUAAUGAACCGUGAGGCUUAACCUUACAACGCCGAAGCUGUU